This 689-nucleotide unclassified non-coding RNA is filed under the name Hevea brasiliensis (rubber tree). The record is from RNAcentral. Lineage: Eukaryota; Viridiplantae; Streptophyta; Magnoliopsida; Malpighiales; Euphorbiaceae.
GUGUUUUUUUAUUAUUUUAUGACAAUAAUAUAAACUUUCCAACUUGUUUCUAUGAAACUUCAGGCUUCAAAUCUAAAGUAGCAAAUCAUUAGAAAUGUUAGAAAGCAACUCAUACUGACAACUGCACUCGCUAUCAAAAUCAUAUUAAGUGAGAAAAAAGGUUUGUAAUUCUAGAAUGUAGUAGAAUACAUGAUAAUGACAACAGAAUUAGCAUUAUGGCUUCUUCUUUUUGGAUUUAAGCAUCACCAUUCCAAUAAAAACGCAUAGAAAGAACAGAAGCGUGACACCGGCAAAUACAGGUAUCAGUAUGGCAUAUUCUAGUGGCGGGAAAUACUGGUGGAUGAAGUGAUCACUAUCUACAAAUGGCAGGAUAAUGACCCAGAAAGUAUAAUAAGUAAAGAUAGAUAAACUGAUGAAUGAUAACAAAAAUCCAACUGCCCUGUCAGCUAAUCCCAUGCCAAAUUUUGUGGCUGCUGGCACCUGUGGGAAGCGGGCCGAGAGCUUGAGGGGUGUCUGUGUAGAAGCGAGACUGUGAAUGGAGGGCGAUCUGUGUAAAAGCGAGCUUGCGGGCCGUCAGUUAUUGGCGUGCGGUGUGGCGACCAUAUUGAAAUAGACGAGAGAAUGAGAAUGGGAACCCGCGGUUGGAGCAAAAGACCGUAACAGAUGAGAUGAGACAAUGAGAUAGGGUC